GCCCAUGUGGCUCGAUUGGUAGAGCAUGGCGCUUGAACUGCCAGGGUUAUGGGGUUGAUUCCCAUGGGGGACC
RNAcentral lists this transfer RNA (73 nucleotides) under Salmo salar (Atlantic salmon). It matches the Rfam family "tRNA". Rfam says of the family: Transfer RNA (tRNA) molecules are approximately 80 nucleotides in length. The record is from Rfam by way of RNAcentral. Lineage: Eukaryota; Metazoa; Chordata; Actinopteri; Salmoniformes; Salmonidae.